CAGUCGCCGCGGUAAUACGAAGGGUGCAAGCGUUACUCGGAAUUACUGGGCGUAAAGCGUGCGUAGGUGGUUGUUUAAGUCUGCUGUGAAAGCCCUGGGCUCAACCUGGGAAUUGCAGUGGAUACUGGGCGACUAGAGUAAGGUAGAGGAUAGUGGAAUUUCCGGUGUAGCAGUGAAAUGCGUAGAGAUCGGAGGGAACAUCUGUGGCGAAGGCGACUAUCUGGGCCAUUACUGACACUGAGGCACGAAAGCGUGGGGAGCAAACAGGAUUAGAUACCCGGGUAGUCCCUGUCUCUUAUAC
Molecule: ribosomal RNA, 301 nt
Filed under: uncultured bacterium
Lineage: Bacteria
Description: partial 16S ribosomal RNA
Rfam family: Bacterial small subunit ribosomal RNA
Source: RNAcentral